This 467-nucleotide ribosomal RNA is filed under the name uncultured bacterium. RNAcentral's name for it is "bacterial SSU rRNA". It matches the Rfam family "Bacterial small subunit ribosomal RNA", at positions 330 to 794 of the family's 1533-position model. The record is from RNAcentral.
CCCAGACUCCUACGGGAGGCAGCAGUGAGGAAUAUUGGUCAAUGGGCGCGAGCCUGAACCAGCCAAGUCGCGUGAGGGAGGACGGCCCUACGGGUUGUAAACCUCUUUUGCCGGGGAGCAACGGGCGUCACGUGUGGCGCCACUGAGAGUACCCGGAGAAAAAGCAUCGGCUAACUCCGUGCCAGCAGCCGCGGUAAUACGUAGGGGGCAAGCGUUAUCCGGAAUUAUUGGGCGUAAAGAGUACGUAGGUGGUUUUGUAAGCGCGGGGUGAAAGGCAGUGGCUUAACCAUUGUAAGCCUUGCGAACUGCAAGACUUGGGUGCAGGAGAGGAAAGCGGAAUUCCUAGUGUAGCGGUGAAAUGCUUAGAUAUUAGGAGGAACACCAGUGGCGAAGGCGGCUUACUGGACUGUAACUGACGUUGAGGCUCGAAAGCGUGGGGAGCAAACAGGAUUAGAUACCCGUGUAUA